Molecule: long non-coding RNA, 3406 nt
Organism: Ictalurus punctatus (channel catfish)
Lineage: Eukaryota; Metazoa; Chordata; Actinopteri; Siluriformes; Ictaluridae
Source: Ensembl
CUGAAAUUGAAUUUCAUACUCUUUAAGAGCAUUUGCAGCCCAAAACAUACAUUUCAGGUUAAAGUAUUGAGGUUAUGACAAACUAUCGACUGGUACGGUCUUAAGUUCUGAAUUUGUAGAAAAUUUAACAUGCUGCUUAGCGGUUAGCACGUUCGCCUCACACCUCCAGGGUCGGGGGUUCGAUUCCCGCGGCUCUGUGUGUGCGGAGUUUGCAUGUUCUCCCCGUGCUGCGGGGGUUUCCUCCGGGUUCUCCGGUUUCCUCCCCAGUCCAAAGACAUGCAUGGUAGGUUUAUCGGCAUGUCUAAAGUGUCCGUAGUGUAUGAACGGGUGUGGGAGUGCGUAUGUGAUUGUGCCCUGCGAUGGACUGGCACCCUGUCCAGGGUGUACCCCGCCUUGUGCCCGAUGCUCCCUGGGAUAGGCUCCAGGUUUCCCCGUGACCCUGAAAAGGAGUAAGUGGUAGAAGAUGGAUGGAUGGAUGGAUGGAUCCCGAUCUUGGUGACAUCACACCAUCUUCACUCUGCCACUCUCAUGCAUUCAAAUGGCUCUUCUUGAGAGCUCUCACGUUCCUACACCAGAGUUUUGAAUUAUGGCCUUGUCUACAGUAGGUAGUGCUUGACUGGUGUGAUGAUAUGAAAUGACAGAUAGAUAUAAUUCUACACCCGAUUCCUACGUUAUGAAAUGAUAUUACUUUAUGUCGAACUUCCGACGAACGCUCCGUGGUCGUCAUUCUCACACCUUUCCGUCAGACUGACAGUCUCUUCGAUGGCGGGUCAAUUGAGGUGGGAUUAUGUUCAGAAAACUGGCAGCUGUUUGAAUUUCUCACAGGGGGUGGGGGAUAGGCCAAUUAUAAAUCAAUCACGUCCUCGUUAAGACCAUACCGUUCAUCCGGCGCUUCCACGACUGGUUUGAAUACCUGUGUUUGAAUAGUUUUCGAUUUUCUUUGGAAAAAUUCUGCUGACAAGUUUGGCUUUCAAAUAAAUUCACUGCAAGAGAACAUACGUUUGCAAUAAAAUACUGACAGGAAGAAUAUGUCUAUUUAUCAUUUGUUAUUGAAACAAACCUGAUCAAUUCCAGAGAGUGUGUGUGUGUGUGUGUGUGUGAAUAUUCUUGCAAUCCACUGUAAAAGGUUUUGUAGUGAUUGUGAUAAUAAUAUAUGAAACGUAUUAUACGUGCGGUCCUACGGUACUCCUAAGCUGUAAUGUUAUGCCAUAGCUAUGACAGGAACUUGUAUGAGCUUUGAUUUGGAGCACUUGUGCAGCUUUUGUGUGCGUCUAUGUGUGUGCUGCUGUUUAAGAAGAUAUCCCAUCAUCCGUAUUGUUUGUACGUUGUCCCGCUUUUUGCUUUAGAAGUCGAUUUUCGAUUGCGCGUGCGUGGUGCUUUAAAUCUAAUUUCAAAUGUCUUGGAGAAACAGAUACGGAACGUGUGUACGUGUGUAUGUCCGUGUGUAAUAACUUUUGCUUGUGCGGAACGGUUUGGUCUCUCACAAAGACAAAAAGUGCACGAUUAGGACAAAUUCCGAAGCAUACGUUUCGGUUGGAGACGUAAAAACGGAAACCCAUUACACGCUACGAUAUAUCCGACGUUAUGUAAUACGAGACGCUAUCUGAUCCAGAUGCCGGACCCUUCCCGAGUCUGCGUGGGUGUGUUCGAGUAGGCGAGCGCUACAAUCUACAAAGCAGGCAGGGUUACUCCAGGACACACACUCGAGAACCUCCGGUCUUCAGGUUCUAUCCAGGCGUUCUGAAAUCUCGUCUCGACUGCUCUGUCUCGAACGGAAACAUCGACGUGAGGGUUGGUGGAGAACGUCGGCUCUUAAUUACGACCCGGCUCUGACUGCACCGCCCACGCGCUGUUGACCCGAGAUGAUGAGAGCUAAUUGCAGAAAGCGAGAGGACAAACACGCACAGGUCCGCCAGGAUCCCAGACGAACCGGGGGGGGGGGGUGUCAUGAAUAUUUAACGUGAGAUAACUGUACUGUCAUUGACCUCGUAGGGUGACGACGUAAGAGUCGGAAAGACAUAGUGAUGAUACCAUCACUAAAAACUCAAGUGUGUGUGUGUGUGUGUGUGCUGCUGAUUACACUGCUUGUGUUCUUUCUAAAUCCCAAAACUCCUUCCAUACACAAUUCCUCCCAAACCCCAAUAGUACAAUACAUAUAAUAAUUACAUUCCUAAAACACCACCAUUAUUAGCAGUGUGAAUGAUUAAUUAGCGUGUAUAAUUAAAGCCCAAACGAUCCUACUCUAAUAGAACAGAACCUUUUCCUUUCCUUUUUUUUUUAAAAAUUUUUUUAACCGUACACGUAAAUAGGACGAUAAUUGAGUUAUUUACGGUUCGGUUUUGUUUGGUGGCUAAUCAGUCUGUUUGUUUCGGCACCACUGGACACGGAUUACGAUCAACAAAAGAUGUGUGUGUGUGUGUGUGUGUGCAAACUGCAUGGAAAUCACAUUCACCCGCCGUCCAUGACAAGUGCAAGUCCGCGAUGUGGUUUAGGGUGCAGUAUAACUUAUAAUCAUGAACGAAACCUCUCUUAAAAUGCAGUAAGAGGUGAAUACGAGGUGUGUGUGAGAUACGAAAUGAAAAUACUGUAUUUAUAGAAAGGAUUUUGGAGUGAGACCGACUUGCAGGCCUCAUUAGACUCACAGUUCCAGUGCGAAAGUAAAGAAGCAAAUGUCAAACGACAAACGUGGCUCGGCGGAUCGGCUACGUUUUGGGGUAAGGCACUGUCGUUUAAGUCCACUAAUGACAGAUUGAUAGAUUUGUGAUAUAUAUAGCAAUAAACUGCCAAUCCAUCUUCACUAAUAUUAUUAUACAUGCAUUUACUCUGCCUAUUCAUUUUAGAAAUGUGCGUGUUUUUUUUUUGUUUUUUUUUGCAUGCAAAUGAUGCUUCAUUUAAAUAAACAGACCUGUGUUUACAGGAAUUGAAUUGAGAUGAUUAAAACCUAAAAGGAAUUUCAGUUCGCACUCUCGAGACGUUUCCGGAACGUGCUGCUGAAAUAGUAUCUUUUUUAUCUGGGCAAGAAAAUAACCAAAAUACAAGCAGGAAAAAAAAAAAAAAAAACGAUGAUCGGAUAUCGUCCUGGGCAUCGAUCUGACACCCAGUGGAAAAAAAAAAAAAAGAGAAAAGAAUUCAGUCUGAUCUCGUGUGAGACAGUGAUUGGAAACGGAAAUGUUUAUGUCGAGCGACUGAGACGGCUGCAGUCGCAAGUAAAUGCCUUUUAUUAAAAGACGGAGGCGAACGAUUCGAGAUCGUGAGGCAGCUGAUAAUCAGGUGACCAAACCCGAUUCAGGAGGGAUAUCAGGAGUCCUUUCUAUCGUGCGGUUAGCGAUCGAGACCACGUGUGCAUGACCAGCGAUUGGCCGAGUGUGAACGUGACAACAGCCACGUUUCCGUCCAAGUUGCGAAU